CCUACGGGAGGCUGCAGUAGGGAAUCUUCGGCAAUGGGGGGAACCCUGACCGAGCAACGCCGCGUGAGUGAAGAAGGUUUUCGGAUCGUAAAGCUCUGUUGUUAAGGAAGAACGGGAGUAGGAGUGGAAAGCCUACUUUGUGACGGUACUUAACCAGAAAGGGACGGCUAACUACGUGCCAGCAGCCGCGGUAAUACGUAGGUCCCGAGCGUUAUCCGGAUUUAUUGGGCGUAAAGCGAGCGCAGGCGGUUAGAUAAGUCUGGAGUAAAAGGCUAUGGCUCAACCAUAGUGUGCUCUGGAAACUGUUUAACUUGAGUGCAGAAGGGGAGAGUGGAAUUCCAUGUGUAGCGGUGAAAUGCGUAGAUAUAUGGAGGAACACCGGUGGCGAAAGCGGCUCUCUGGUCUGUAACUGACGCUGAGGCUCGAAAGCGUGGGGAGCGAACAGGAUUAGAUACCCUGGUAGUC
Molecule: ribosomal RNA, 465 nt
Filed under: uncultured Streptococcus sp.
Lineage: Bacteria; Bacillati; Bacillota; Bacilli; Lactobacillales; Streptococcaceae
Description: bacterial SSU rRNA
Rfam family: Bacterial small subunit ribosomal RNA
Source: RNAcentral